GAUGAACGCUGGCGGCGUGCCUAAUACAUGCAAGUCGAGCGAACGGACGAGAAGCUUGCUUCUCUGUUGUUAGCGGCGGACGGGUGAGUAACACGUGGAUAACCUACCUAUAAGACUGGGAUAACUUCGGGAAACCGGAGCUAAUACCGGAUGAUAUUUUGAACCGCAUGGUUCAAAAGUGAAAGACGGUCUUGCUGUCACUUAUAGAUGGAUCCGCGCUGCAUUAGCUAGUUGGUAAGGUAAUGGCUUACCAAGGCAACGAUGCAUAGCCGACCUGAGAGGGUGAUCGGCCACACUGGAACGGAGACACGGUCCAGACUCCUACGGGAGGCAGCAGUAGGGAAUCUUACGCAAUGGGCGAAAGCCUGACGGAGCAACGCCGCGUGAGUGAUGAAGGUCUUCGGAUCGUAAAACUCUGUUAUUAGGGAAGAACAUAUGUGUAAGUAACUGUGCACAUCUUGACGGUACCUAAUCAGAAAGCCACGGCUAACUACGUG
RNAcentral lists this ribosomal RNA (497 nucleotides) under uncultured bacterium. RNAcentral describes it as "partial 16S ribosomal RNA". It matches the Rfam family "Bacterial small subunit ribosomal RNA", at positions 28 to 507 of the family's 1533-position model. The record is from RNAcentral.